Molecule: ribosomal RNA, 253 nt
Filed under: uncultured bacterium
Lineage: Bacteria
Description: partial 16S ribosomal RNA
Rfam family: Bacterial small subunit ribosomal RNA
Source: RNAcentral
UACGUAGGGCGCAAGCGUUGUCCGGAUUCACUGGGUGUAAAGGGUGCGCAGGCGGGCAAGUAAGUUAGAGGUGAAAUCUCACAGCUCAACUGUGAAACGGCCUUUGAUACUGCUUUUCUUGAGUUAGGGAGAGGUUGAUGGAAUUCCAGGUGUAGCGGUGAAAUGCGUAGAUAUCUGGAAGAACACCGGUGGCGAAGGCGGUCAACUGGCCCUAAACUGACGCUCAGGCACGAAAGCGUGGGGAUCAAACAGG